This 253-nucleotide ribosomal RNA is filed under the name uncultured bacterium. Its description in RNAcentral is "partial 16S ribosomal RNA". It matches the Rfam family "Bacterial small subunit ribosomal RNA", at positions 524 to 776 of the family's 1533-position model. The record is from RNAcentral.
UACGUAGGGUACAAGCGUUGUCCGGAAUUAUUGGGCGUAAAGAGCUCGUAGGCGGCUUGUCGCGUCGGCUGUGAAAACCUGGGGCUCAACCCCGGGCCUGCAGCCGAUACGGGCAAGCUAGAGUUCGGUAGGGGAGACUGGAAUUCCUGGUGUAGCGGUGAAAUGCGCAGAUAUCAGGAGGAACACCGGUGGCGAAGGCGGGUCUCUGGACAACACCUGACACUGAGGCACGAAAGCUAGGGGAGCAAACGGG